This 468-nucleotide ribosomal RNA is filed under the name uncultured bacterium. Its description in RNAcentral is "partial 16S ribosomal RNA". It matches the Rfam family "Bacterial small subunit ribosomal RNA", at positions 28 to 507 of the family's 1533-position model. The record is from RNAcentral.
GACGAACGCUGGCGGCGUGCUUAACACAUGCAAGUCGAACGGAAGGGCCCGGCUUUUGUGGGGUGCUCGAGUGGCGAACGGGUGAGUAACACGUGAGUAACCUGCCCUUGACUUUGGGAUAACUUCAGGAAACUGGGGCUAAUACCGGAUAGGAGCUCCUGCUGCAUGGUGGGGGUUGGAAAGUUUCGGCGGUUGGGGCUGGACUCGCGGCUUAUCAGCUUGUUGGUGGGGUAGUGGCUUACCACGGCUUUGACGGGUAGCCGGCAUGGGAGGGUGACCGGCCACAUUGGGCCUGAGGUACGGCCCAGACUCCUACGGGAGGCAGCAGUGGGGAAUAUUGCACAGUGGGCGGAAGCCUGAUGCAGCAACGCCGCGUGCGGGAUGACGGCCUUCGGGUUGUAAACCGAUUUCGCCUGUGACGAAGCGUGCGUGACGGUAAUGGGUAAAGAAGCAACGGCUAACUACGUG